Molecule: unclassified non-coding RNA, 313 nt
Filed under: uncultured fungus
Lineage: Eukaryota; Fungi
Description: partial contains 5.8S ribosomal RNA and internal transcribed spacer 2
Rfam family: 5.8S ribosomal RNA (bases 1-133)
Source: RNAcentral
UGGUUCUGGCAUCGAUGAAGAACGCAGCGAAAUGCGAUAAGUAAUGUGAAUUGCAGAAUUCAGUGAAUCAUCGAAUCUUUGAACGCACAUUGCGCCCCUUGGUAUUCCGGGGGGCAUGCCUGUUCGAGCGUCAUUAACAACCUUCAAGCUCUGCUUGGUAUUGGGCCUUGCUGCUUCUGCAGGCCUCAAAUUCAGUGGCGGUACCACUAGGUCCUGAGCGUAGUAAAUAUCCUCGCUACAGGGUCUCGGUAGUCUCUAGCCAGUAACCCCCACAUCUUAGUUUGACCUCGGAUCAGGUAGGGAUACCCGCUGA